Phrynosoma platyrhinos (Desert horned lizard) is the source of this 72-nucleotide non-coding RNA. NCBI's taxonomy places the organism in Eukaryota, Metazoa, Chordata, Lepidosauria, Squamata, Phrynosomatidae. The record is from the annotation of a GenBank genome assembly.
GCCAGUGUGGUGUAGUGGUGUGAGUGCUGGACUACAGCUCUGGAGGUCUGGGUUCGAAUCCCUGUUUGAUCA